UUUGGCAAAUCUCAGGAAACCACUGGGCGGCUACUUGGGGGCAGGCGAGCUUGAUUGCUUCAGAGUGCAGAGUUACCUUGACAUAAGUUUAAUGGCUGGAGACCAACCUCCUAAAACAGGGAAAGAAGUGUAAUCAGCCUCAGGGAUUGUUGUCUUUACUCACCUAUUUUAAG
This is a long non-coding RNA of Polypterus senegalus (gray bichir), 173 nucleotides long. RefSeq lists it as uncharacterized. The record is from RefSeq and is a predicted model, not a curated record. The transcript has 3 exons. Lineage: Eukaryota; Metazoa; Chordata; Cladistia; Polypteriformes; Polypteridae.